UUUGCACUCCCUCCGUUCGGAAUUACUUGUCACAAAAAUGGAUAAAAAUGGAUGUAUCUACAACUAAAAUACAUCUAGAUACAUUCAUUUCUUCGACGAGUAAUUCCGAACGGAGGGAGUAACAU
Non-coding RNA from Triticum aestivum (bread wheat), 125 nucleotides. The record is from Rfam. Lineage: Eukaryota; Viridiplantae; Streptophyta; Magnoliopsida; Poales; Poaceae.